UUGAACGCUGGCGGCAGGCCUAACACAUGCAAGUCGAACGGUAACAGGAAGAAGCUUGCUUCUUUGCUGACGAGUGGCGGACGGGUGAGUAAUGUCUGGGAAACUGCCUGGUGGAGGGGGAUAACUACUGGAAACGGUAGCUAAUACCGCAUAACGUCGCAAGACCAAAGAGGGGGACCUUCGGGCCUCUUGCCAUCGGAUGUGCCCAGAUGGGAUUAGCUAGUAGGUGGGGUAACGGCUCACCUAGGCGACGAUCCCUAGCUGGUCUGAGAGGAUGACCAGCCACACUGGAACUGAGACACGGUCCAGACUCCUACGGGAGGCAGCAGUGGGGAAUAUUGCACAAUGGGCGCAAGCCUGAUGCAGCCAUGCCGCGUGUAUGAAGAAGGCCUUCGGGUUGUAAAGUACUUUCAGCGGGGAGGAAGGGAGUAAAGUUAAUACCUUUGCUCAUUGACGUUACCCGCAGAAGAAGCACCGGCUAACUCCGUG
Molecule: ribosomal RNA, 489 nt
Filed under: uncultured bacterium
Lineage: Bacteria
Description: partial 16S ribosomal RNA
Rfam family: Bacterial small subunit ribosomal RNA
Source: RNAcentral